This 468-nucleotide ribosomal RNA is filed under the name uncultured bacterium. RNAcentral describes it as "partial 16S ribosomal RNA". It matches the Rfam family "Bacterial small subunit ribosomal RNA", at positions 28 to 507 of the family's 1533-position model. The record is from RNAcentral.
GACGAACGCUGGCGGCGUGCUUAACACAUGCAAGUCGAACGGAAAGGCCCUGCUUUUGUGGGGUGCUCGAGUGGCGAACGGGUGAGUAACACGUGAGUAACCUGCCCUUGACUUUGGGAUAACUUCAGGAAACUGGGGCUAAUACCGGAUAGGAGCUCCUGCUGCAUGGGGGGGGUUGGAAAGUUUCGGCGGUUGGGGAUGGACUCGCGGCUUAUCAGCUUGUUGGUGGGGUAGUGGCUUACCAAGGCUUUGACGGGUAGCCGGCCUGAGAGGGUGACCGGCCACAUUGGGACUGAGAUACGGCCCAGACUGCUACGGGAGGCAGCAGUGGGGAAUAUUGCACAAUGGGCGGAAGCCUGAUGCAGCAACGCCGCGUGCGGGAUGACGGCCUUCGGGGUGUAAACCGCUUUCGCCUGUGACGAAGCGUGAGUGACGGUAAUGGGUAAAGAAGCACCGGCUAACUACGUG